Molecule: ribosomal RNA, 471 nt
Filed under: uncultured bacterium
Lineage: Bacteria
Description: bacterial SSU rRNA
Rfam family: Bacterial small subunit ribosomal RNA
Source: RNAcentral
GAUAAACGCUGGCGGCGCACAUAAGACAUGCAAGUCGAACGGACUUAACUCAUUCUUUUAGAUUGAGAGCGGUUAGUGGCGGACUGGUGAGUAACACGUAAGCAACCUACCUAUCAGAGGGGAAUAACAGUGAGAAAUGACUGCUAAUACCGCAUAUGCCAUAGGAAUCACAUGGUUCCAGUGGGAAAGGAGCAAUCCGCUGAUAGAUGGGCUUACGGCUGAUUAGCUAGUUGGUGGGUAACGGCCGUACCAAGGCGGCGAUCAGUAGCCGGACUGAGAGGUUCAACGGCCACAUUGGGACUGAGAUACGGCCCAGACUCCUACGGGAGGCAGCAGUCGGGAAUUUUGCGCAAUGGAGGAAACUCUGACGCAGUGACGCCGCGUGCAGGAGAAGGUUUUCGGAUUGUAAACUGCUUUAGACAGGGAAGAAACAAGACAGUACCUGUAGAUAAGCUCCGGCUAAACUACGUG